Molecule: long non-coding RNA, 5389 nt
Organism: Oncorhynchus kisutch (coho salmon)
Lineage: Eukaryota; Metazoa; Chordata; Actinopteri; Salmoniformes; Salmonidae
Exons: 5
Source: RefSeq, a predicted model, not a curated record
CCCUCUCUAGCUGGACAGAAUGAGCUGAAGGGUGUGUCUGCUGUGAAGAGGAUUUGUGAGGAGAACAGAGAGGCCAAAGUGGAGUUUGAUCAGUUGAAUCUGGCAUCUUUGCAGUCAGUCAGGCAAUUUGUCCAGAAUAUCAAGAGACGAGGCCUACCGCUGCACAUCUUAGUCAACAAUGCGGCGGUCAUGUUGGUCCCUGAGGGUCGUACAGAGGAGGGCUUUGAGCGUCACUUUGGGGUCAACUACCUAGGUCACUUCCUGUUGACCUUGCUGCUGUUAGACACAUUAAAGCAUUCUGGGAAACGUGGUUCCUGCUCACGUGUUGUCACCCUCUCCUCGUCAGCUCAUGGUGCUGGAGAGAUACAACUAGACAGCCUGCUAAACAGUCUUCAGGCGGUGUUAUUCGGCCCAUGCGGCAUACUCCCAGAGUAAGCUGGCACUACUGUUAUUUUCCUCCCACCUGCAACAGAGGUUGGAUAGAGGAGGGUUUCCAGUGAGCUCAUGUGCAGUGGACCCUGGCAUGGUCGACACUUCACUCUACUGCCACCUCUUCCCCACCGCCCGCCUCGCACAGACAGCCAUCGCACACCUGCUCUUUAGGAGCCCGUCCCAGGGAGCGUCCACGGUCCUCUACACUGCUCUAUCUCCGUCUCUGGAGGAGGGAGGAGCCGACUGGAGCAAUGGGCGCACAGAGAUGACAUCACCAAACACCUACGACCCACAGCUCCAUCGCGGCCUCUGGGACUCCAGCUGCAGACAAGUUGGCCUGCCAUGACCCCUGACCUUCAACCCCUGACCCCCAACAUGGGACUGGAUGUCUGAGACCCAACACUUAGUCUGUCUGACUGGUGUUGUCUUUGUUUUGACAAUCUCCUCACCACCAGACUGUGAUUGGACUGAUGAUGACCAUGGCUAGACUUUGAUUGGUUCGUAAAGAGUUAAGUCCCUUCCCAUGCUGUUCAAAUGAAUGUGCUAAUGGGAAUGCAACCUUCUCCCUCUGGCACUGUGAACAUACACACACAUACACUAUGUUAAGGGUAUUCAUAGUGCUGCUAUGAGUGUCUGUAGUGCCACUAUGAGUGUUAAUGGUGACCUUAUAAGUGUUCAUAGCAACCUUAUGACUGUUGGUUGACAGAUCAGAUCUUCCAGAACAGAAAGCACCUUCCCUCCAUGGGAGAACUUACUUUUGUCUUAAACAAGUGUCAUCAGUGUGUGUAUGUGUCUGUGUGUACUUGUCAUCAGUGUGUGUGUGUGUGCUUAUUAUGAUGUUAGAAGCAUCCAGGAGCAUCUGGUGUUCUGAUCCAUCUGUGAAGCAUAUACUGACCCCUGCCCGAGUGGAGGGUCCAGGACCAAUGAACAAGCCAGCAUGGUAACAUCAGUGAAUCACAGCCUGAAACUGAUAUUUUCAGUUCUUGUGAAAGCAAAGGGUAUUUUGUGGAAUUCUUGCCAAAGCUGCUGGUUUCCUCUCCAGGGGGCAGAAAUCAUCUGAGAGAAGGUCUUUAAAUUGUGUCCCGCCUCCUGGGCUGUGAGUCACACACACACCUGUCUCAUGGUAUUUCUCUUUUACUGUUAGAGCUGAGUGAUGGUUUAUCAAUAUGCACAUAUCACCUCUCUCAAGUCCAGUCGUUGUGUGUGUUUCUGUGCACAGUAUGUGUAUUUGUGUGUGAGCUGUUUGUGUGUUUCUUCCAGUCAUUGGUUUGUAUGCAUCCAUAAAAAGGCAGCACAACUGAAACCAAUACUGAUAUUUGUGGCAGAGGGAGAGAAAGACAGUGAGUAAAGGAAAAGGAGACAGAGAGAUUCUUCAUCUACUCUCUCUGCUGCUACCUCGUUUGGCUUUGCUCCCAGUGCAUUCAUUGUGGGAGGGAAAUAUCCCAGUGAAAAUUCAGCAAAAUUAAGACAAAGACAAACAGUCACACACACAGAGGCAGACUGUGACCAAAAAUGGGCCCUGUCAUUUCUAACACACUGGCCAUUUUGUUCCUUGAGGACCUCAUUAUUAGCCAGAUGAUUAUCAUUUUGAGUUAAAACCUAAGUUAGACAGGCCCAGUAGGCUGGACCAGCCCAUCUGGCAAGUCUGCCCCUGUGAAGAAAAAAACAAAAAACACACACAUAUAUAUAUAUAUAUAUUCAACUGUGCAUCCAAUCACACACAUGCUUAUCUAAACAAUCAACUCAUACUAUCAUGGCCCAGGCUGGCCUCAUAAACUAGACAUACCAUAGUAAAUUAAAGUCAGGACACUCAAAUUAGUAUGAUAUGUUACAUUUAGCAACACAAAGGUUGUGUGUUCGUAUCUCAUAAUGGACAACUUUAGCAUUUUAGCUAAUUAGCAACUUUGCAACUACAUACUACUUUUUAGCUACUUUGCAACUAUUUAGCAUGUUAGCUAACCCUUCCCCUAAACUUAACCUAACUCCUAACCUUAACCCCUAGCCUAGCUAAUGUUAGCCACAACAAAUUUGAAUUCUCAACAUAUCGUACGAAUUAUAAUUCGUAACAUCGUACAAAAGGUGUCAGAGUCUAUCUAGAGGAUAGCGAAGGAGUCAGGCGCAGGACACAGGUAAGAGUAAAACCACUGUGUUUACUGAGCAGAACACGUGUCAAACUGUCAGAGUCUAUCUAGAGGAGAGCGAAGGAGUCAGGCACAGGACACAGGUAAGAGUAAAACCACUGGGUUUACUGAGCAGAACACGUGUCAAACUGUCAGAGUCUAUCUAGAGAGCGAAGGAGUCAGGCGCAGGACACAGGUAAGAGUAAAACCACUGGGUUUACUGAGCAGAACACGUGUCAAACUGUCAGAGUCUAUCUAGAGGAGAGCGAAGGAGUCAGGCGCAGGACACAGGUAAGAGUAAAACCACUGUGUUUACUGAGCAGAACACGUGUCAAACUGUCAGAGUCUAUCUAGAGGAGAGCGAAGGAGUCAGGCGCAGGACACAGGUAAGAGUAAAACCACUGUGUUUACUGAGCAGAACACGUGUCAAACUGUCAGAGUCUAUCUAGAGGAGAGCGAAGGAGUCAGGCACAGGACACAGGUAAGAGUAAAACCACUGUGUUUACUGAGCAGAACACGUGUCAAACUGUCAGUCUAUCUAGAGAGCGAAGGAGUCAGGCGCAGGACACAGGUAAGAGUAAAACCACUGGGUUUACUGAGCAGAACACGUGUCAAACUGUCAGAGUCUAUCUAGAGGAGAGCGAAGGAGUCAGGCGCAGGACACAGGUAAGAGUAAAACCACUGUUUACUGAGCAGAACACGCGUCAAACUGUCAGAGUCUAUCUAGAGGAGAGCGAAGGAGUCAGGCGCAGGAGACAGGUAAGAGUAAAACCACUGUGUUUACUGAGCAGAACACGUGUCAAACUGUCAGAGUCUAUCUAGAGGAGAGCGAAGGAGUCAGGCGCAGGACACAGGUAAGAGUAAAACCACUGUAUUUACUCCAUCCGAGAACUGAAAAAAAAUCCCGUUAUAUAACAAAUACAGAACAGGAUACGAACUCCAACACACGAAAGACAAUCACGCACAAAACAGAAAGGGAAACCAGACGGUUAAAUAAGGAACAUAAUCAUGAGAUGGGAACCAGGUGUGUAAAACAGACAAAACAAAAGGAAAAAUGAAACAUGGAUCGGUGGCAGCUAGAAAGCCGGUGACGUUGACGCCGAACAAGGAGAGGGAACAACUUUGGUGGAAGUCGUGACAAAAGGGAUGAUUGACAUCCACAAAUGAAUACAUACCAUACGUAAUAUGUUAUAUUCAUCUGAGUGUCCUGGAUUUUUGCUUACUAUGUUAUGUCCAGAUUGCAUGGCCAAACCAUACCAUUUUGCCUUGGAGAAUGGGCAAAAAUCCCAGUGGCUAGAUGUGCCAAGCUUAUAGAGACAUACCCCAAGAGACUUGCAGCUGCAAUGGGCAAAAAUCCCAGUGGCUAGAUGUGCCAAGCUUAUAGAGACAUACCCCAAGAGACUUGCAGCUGCAAUGGGCAAAAAUCCCAGUGGCUAGAUGUGCCAAGCUUAUAGAGACAUACCCCAAGAGACUUGCAGCUGUAAUUGCUGAAAAAGGUGUCUUUGGGGGGGGGGGGGGUAUUGGCUUUGGGGGGUGAAUAGAACACUCUCAAGUUUUCUGUUUUUUUGUCUUAUUUCUUGUUUGUUUCUCAAUAACAAAUAUUUUGCGUCUUCAAAGUGGUAGGCAUGUUGUGUAAAUCAAAUGAUAGGCAACAAAAUAGGAAAAAUGCCAAGGGGUUGAAAACUUUCGCAAGUAAUUGUAUCUACCAUCAGUCCUCAGAUUUUCAGGCUUAUAUGAAACUAACUUAAUUGACAUAACACACAUACGCCCACAGAGACUAGUAAAUCGGGACUGGGGAUAACUACAGACCCUGUGUGUAACCUUCCUUUAGUUUAAGCUCUCAUUCUGCUACUGAGCAUAGGGUUCAUGUCUUCCAGACAUGAGGGGGUGUGUUACUGUAGCUGUCAGACUGGAUGCUGUUUGGGUUGGUUAUUAUGGGUAGGGUUUUGGUUUCUAAAAACAGACCUUUACUGGCACAUCCAGUUUUCAGAAUAGAAAGUGUGUGUUUGAAGUAAUUAGUAAAUAAAGACACUAUAUAAAAGUCACCAUGACGUGUUUGAAUUCCAGCCUGUCGACAUCCAGAGACUGCUACAGGAGAACAGACAAGAUACAGGUAGUAUUGAUUUGCGAUGUGCAAAAUAUAUUUUGUUGUGCUGUGCCCGAACUCCCUCAGAUAUAGAAUGUGACUGUGAAUUUCCAUGUAGAGUUGAACUAUUGUUAAAUUGUGAACUGUCUUGUCUUGUUAUUGUCAUAUUUCUGUAAAAACCUUUGUUAGCUGUUUGAGCAAUGUGAAGACAUCUAGUGCUUAUACCUCUGGAGGAAAAAUACUUCUGUUCACUAUGAAGACUGUGGUUAGGUUCAAUAUGAAGACAUCUAGUGCUUAUACCUCUGGAGGAAAAAUACUUCUGUUCACUAUGAAGACUGUGGUUAGGUUCAAUAUGAAGACAUCUACUGCUUAUACCUCUGGAGGAAAAAUACUUCUGUUCACUAUGAAGACUGUGGUUAGGUUCAAUAUGAAGACAUCUAGUGCUUAUACCUCUGGAGGAAAAAUACUUCCGUUCACUAUGAAGACUGUGGUUAGGUUCAAUAUGGAGGUCAUAGUGUCAAUAUGAACAGUGUGUUUAUGUUGUUGUGAUGUUCUCCACCUCCUCCUUUUCUACCAGGCAAAGCCUCAAUAAACAUUAUUGUGCCCUAAAUGACUGUGUCCACUUGGAGACACCAGUUAGACCUCACACUCAAACCCUUGUAAUAGUUUUUUCUUAUGUUGCACCUACCUCAACAUUUCCAUGAAUAGUUUUAUUAUGUUACUGAAUGUAUCCAGAGUAUUGUCAGAUUUC